Molecule: long non-coding RNA, 592 nt
Organism: Actinia tenebrosa (Australian red waratah sea anemone)
Lineage: Eukaryota; Metazoa; Cnidaria; Anthozoa; Actiniaria; Actiniidae
Source: RefSeq, a predicted model, not a curated record
CUUCUGUCGUUUGGCGCGUUUGGAGCCUUUGCUAAGGCUUCGUUGAGGUGUGAGUGGGCAACGGUAAUAUUAGUGUUGAUCAUUAUAGGCCAUCUCAAGACGUCGAAAUACCUCUUCGCAUAUCAAAACAAAAUGGCAGAGAACAGACCAACUCAGAGACGAGGAAGAUAUUGUUUAGCUGGUGCUCCAAAUCAGUGAAGCUGUAAAAAUACCACUUUUACACCUAAUGUAAAAAUGCAUCAGUUUCCUUCUGAUGCAGCUAUUCUGGAGAAGUGGGUAAAAUUUGUGCAAAGACAUCAGCCUGAUUUCCGGGAGCCAUCAAGCAAGUAUGCCUCACUGUACACUAUUUAGUAUUACUAAAGUUUCAUUGUUUGCACUCUAAUUUAAUUCAAUUCAGUUCAAUUUCAGUUUAUUUACAGUUUUUUUCAAUUUUAUAGAAUAGAAUUACAAGGAAAUAUAUAGUUUGAAUAACAUUUAAAAUAUUAUACGUGUACUAUAAUUAACCUAUUAUAGGUGUAAGUGUACGGCAGCCAAAGGAGCUAAAGCUUUCUAGUUGCCUGUCGUGAUUUUCAUUUGGUGUCAAUAUAGAGGA